This is a long non-coding RNA of Monodelphis domestica (gray short-tailed opossum), 691 nucleotides long. RefSeq lists it as uncharacterized. The record is from RefSeq and is a predicted model, not a curated record. Lineage: Eukaryota; Metazoa; Chordata; Mammalia; Didelphimorphia; Didelphidae.
GUGGAUUAAGAACCACUAUGCUCCGGGCACUGGGCUAACCACUUACCACUAACACUUACAGCUACAAACUGUCUCAUCCGAGCCUUGCAACAACCCAGGGAAGCAGGUGUUAUUGUCAUACCCAUUUUCCAGUGGAGAAAACAAAGGCAAACAUGUUAAAGUGCUGCGUCACACCAACACAACCAAUGCGAAACCAGGGCCAAAUUUGGCCUUGUGUCUUCCUGGCUUCAGGCCCAGAGCUCUAUCCUCUGUGCCGCCCGCUGCCAGGGAAUGCGGAGUCUUUGGAGCAGGCGCUCCAGCACCAUCCUUCUCCCACUUUAUUGGAGCUCAUAUGCGAGUAAUGCCAGCAUGAAGGACGACCAUUCCCACCUCCAUGGAGAAUGAAUCCAAAGAGAUCCAUCCAUUGGAGGGGGAAGACUGGCAGGCGGAGACGUCAAGAAGUUCACACGGAAGGGGAGACUCUGGCUGAGCCUGAAAAGAAAGCAAAAGGCAAGAGCCUUCUAGGCAGGAUGCGGGACUAUCACUGUCGUGUUUGUGGCCAAGAGAGAUUGGCUGGAUUGCUGAGUGAGAGGAAUAAGAUACAGGGCUGUUGGGAGGAGAGGAUGACUCUUCUGGGGUAGCCCUUCAAGGCUAAACAUGGGGGUUCUCAUUUUAUCCUGGAGCCAAUAAAGAAGCACUGAUGAUUAUGGGA